Molecule: long non-coding RNA, 702 nt
Filed under: Rattus norvegicus (Norway rat)
Lineage: Eukaryota; Metazoa; Chordata; Mammalia; Rodentia; Muridae
Description: long non-coding RNA NONRATT020785
Source: RNAcentral
UUAGAGGUACUCCUCGUGAAGGUGGGAGAUCAGAAGGAAAUGGCAGCUGGUCACUCAACCCUCAAAAGACAUCCUUAUUCCGAUUCCCUACUCCUCUGGCGAGGAUUCACCAAGGGAACUCCUCACCAUAUGGGCCGACUCAGAAACGCCAAAAUCCACGUAGAGAGAGCCGUCAAGCUGCCUCCUACUGGGUUACCAAAAUUCCCUGAAGGCAGACGUCCUGUCUGGUUCACCAUUGCCUCCUAUAUGUCUGAUGCUGAAGCAAGUUACUGCCUCUCACCUUAUAGCAGAAGAAGAUCUUUAUGAUUCAUGGACGAUACCCAGUGAUCCGGUGUCUCUUGCGCCAGAGAGGCUGGGUAGAGAAGAAGAUGGUGCAUCCCCCAGGCACGAUCCUGCCACCACCUUCGAAGGAUCUAGACAGCUCCAUGCUGGGUGACAGCGAUGCCACAGAGGAUGGUGAGUAGGCUCCCCAGUCCCGCAUGGUUCGAAACGAGACCCCUUACCUGAUCUGGACCACUCGGCGAGACGUGCUAGAUUGUCGCUUCCUUUCCAAGGAUCAGAUGAUAAACCAUUAUGCCCGUGCCGGCUCCUUCACUACAAAGGUGGGCCUUUGUCUCAACCUCCGGAAUCUGCCAUGGUUUGAUGAGGCUGAUGCUGACUCCUUCUUCCCACGAUGCUACCGACUGGGGGCAGAGGAUGACA